Molecule: transfer RNA, 95 nt
Filed under: Colletotrichum sublineola
Lineage: Eukaryota; Fungi; Ascomycota; Sordariomycetes; Glomerellales; Glomerellaceae
Description: tRNA-Pro
Source: RNAcentral
GCCCUGAUGGUCUAGCGGUAUGAUUCUCCCUUAGGGUUGUCUUCACGAUAAUUCUAUUCUGGGAGAGGUCCCAGGUUCGAUCCCUGGUUAGGGCC